Long non-coding RNA from Musa acuminata AAA Group (dessert banana), 845 nucleotides. RefSeq lists it as uncharacterized. The transcript has 3 exons. Lineage: Eukaryota; Viridiplantae; Streptophyta; Magnoliopsida; Zingiberales; Musaceae. The record is from RefSeq and is a predicted model, not a curated record.
UUCUUCUUAGACCUCAAGAUCUUCCUCAGCUGCAGGCCUUAUCGGUCUCCGAAGGUACUCCUACCCCCACAACAACACUGGCUGCCCCUUCAGAAAAACACAACGCUCUCAACGCCGCCGACCAGCCUGGGCAUCUGCAACGUCACCCAAGGCACAACGAAGAUAUCGGCGAGAGCUCGUCGCCUGGUGAUCCAUAUGCGGCCGGGCCAUCAGCCUUGGAAAGGGAGCUACACGCCUGCCAGGAGGAAGUCCGCAGCAUGAACGUGCAGAUUCACAGGAUGCGCUACCGCAUCUCGAUGAGGAAGGUCGCCGAGGAAUGGUACCCGGUUCGUUCGUCUUGCUCCUGCCAUGUCCCUGUUCCUUCUCCCCCUUUCCAGCUCCUGUUCUCCGUUGAUGAUGUCUUGCUGUAGACGGAAAGGCGCAGCAACGAAGACUGGUUGUGGUUGUGCAAGAAGAGGACGGCGGAACUGGCAAAGCAGCACAAGAGGCUGCUUGCCGAAACCAAAGCUUCUCAAUCACAGAUUGCAAAACUGAAAUCUAAGAUCGAAUCGCUGAAGAAGGCAAGACCAGCCGAGCCCUAAGCCAUCAGAAAGCUGACACAGAGAUCGUCCGUUGGCAACUUCCAGAGCAAUCUGAACUUUUAUAUUGGAUUGGCAAUCAUCAAAACCUUUCUUUGCCUAUUUCUAGUUUACAUAUACUAGUUUUGCAUGACAUAGCAGCUGAUUCAGAUGGUAAUGGCAUUGUUAGUAGGGCAGAGUGAGAAGAAAGCCAGAGUGUCAGUGCAAUGUUAAACUGAUGCUUUUAUCUUAGAGAGGACAUGUUAUUGAUACGUAUUGUAAAAAGGA